This 440-nucleotide ribosomal RNA is filed under the name uncultured bacterium. Its description in RNAcentral is "partial 16S ribosomal RNA". It matches the Rfam family "Bacterial small subunit ribosomal RNA", at positions 338 to 795 of the family's 1533-position model. The record is from RNAcentral.
CCUACGGGAGACAGCAGUGGGGAAUAUUGCACAAUGGGGGAGACCCUGAUGCAGCGAAGCCGCGUGAGUGAAGAAGUAAUUCGGUAUGUAAAGCUCUAUCAGCAGGGAAGAAAAUGACGGUACCUGAGUAAGAAGCCCCGGCUAACUACGUGCCAGCAGCCGCGGGAAUACGUAGGGGGCAAGCGUUAUCCGGAUUUACUGGGGGUAAAGGGAGCGUAGACGGCAGGGCUAGUCUGGAGUGAAAGGUGGGGGCUCAACCCCCGGACUGCUCUGGAAACUGGCAGGCUGGAGUGCAGGAGAGGUAAGUGGAAUUCCUAGUGUAGCGGUGAAAUGCGUAGAUAUUAGGAGGAACACCAGUGGCGAAGGCGGCUUACUGGACCAUAACUGACGUUGAGGCUCGAAAGCGUGGGGAGCAAACAGGAUUAGAUACCCGAGUAGUC